Molecule: ribosomal RNA, 368 nt
Filed under: uncultured organism
Description: bacterial SSU rRNA
Rfam family: Bacterial small subunit ribosomal RNA
Source: RNAcentral
CGAAGGGGGCUAGCGUGCUCGGAAUCACUGGGCGUAAGGGUGCGUAGGCGGGUCUUUAAGUCAGGGGUGAAAUCCUGGAGCUCAACUCCAGAACUGCCUUUGAUACUGAGGAUCUUGAGUUCGGGAGAGGUGAGUGGAACUGCGAGUGUAGAGGUGAAAUUCGUAGAUAUUCGCAAGAACACCAGUGGCGAAGGCGGCUCACUGGCCCGAUACUGACGCUGAGGCACGAAAGCGUGGGAAGCAAACAGGAUUAGAUACCCUGGUAGUCCACGCCGUAAACGAUGAAUGCCAGCCGUUAGUGGGUUUACUCACUAGUGGCGCAGCUAACGCUUUAAGCAUUCCGCCUGGGGAGUACGGUCGCAAGAUUA